RNAcentral lists this transfer RNA (77 nucleotides) under Bacillota bacterium. Its description in RNAcentral is "tRNA-Val". It matches the Rfam family "tRNA". From Rfam's summary of the family: Transfer RNA (tRNA) molecules are approximately 80 nucleotides in length. The record is from RNAcentral. Lineage: Bacteria; Bacillati; Bacillota.
GGAGGUAUAGCUCAGUUGGUUAGAGCGCUCGCCUCACAUGCGAGAGGUCAUAGGUUCGAAUCCUAUUAUCUCCACCA